AUAGAAGCUUGUCCACUUUUUUUCCAGCUCUAUCAGCUGUAUAUAGUCAAUGUUGGAAAAUACCUUGUCUAAUUCUUUUUUUCCUUUGCUUAUCUAUUAGAAAAAGACUACUGUGUUAAAUGAAACCUUUGCCCGACCACAGCACAGCUAUUUUACGUUCUUAAAUUCACCUUACACAUCUUAUUUUAAAUGUGCACUACCAAAUUCUGCAGGUGUACAAAUCCUGGCAUCCCUGAAAGGAAGCAUGUGUCUAAGAUAAUCCAAUAGCCCAGUGUGCCGAACACCCUUGCAUAUCUCCAUUUUGAAACCUAACCGUUGAGAUUCUUCUCAUUGUUCUGUCACAUCCGAGCAGUACUGUCUGGAGAGGAUUAUUGCAGCAAUAAUUCUGGAUUUGCUAGAGGACGGUGAGUAAUGUUCAAGCUACUGUGUUUCACUGACUCAGCAGUUCAAUCAUUCAGAGACCACAGUCAAAUAAGAAGCAGAUUCUUAAAGAUGUGAACAUAUAACCCUGCUUUCUGUGCCCAUAUGCAAGCAUGGCUGCUCAGUGAGUCGGGAUCAAGAACAAGGUUUACCAGCUACAUCUGAUUCUCACUGAAACAGUAGUUAUUAACUAUUUAAAGCUGUUGAUCUGACGACCACGGUCAGUACAUGUUGUACAUGUUCUAUCCACAAUCUUGUUUCAAGUAGUGUCUUUAG
RNAcentral lists this long non-coding RNA (696 nucleotides) under Anas platyrhynchos platyrhynchos (common mallard). RNAcentral describes it as "lncRNA (ENSAPLG00000019594.1)". The record is from RNAcentral. Lineage: Eukaryota; Metazoa; Chordata; Aves; Anseriformes; Anatidae.